This 465-nucleotide ribosomal RNA is filed under the name Paracoccaceae bacterium. RNAcentral's name for it is "bacterial SSU rRNA". It matches the Rfam family "Bacterial small subunit ribosomal RNA", at positions 529 to 992 of the family's 1533-position model. Lineage: Bacteria; Pseudomonadati; Pseudomonadota; Alphaproteobacteria; Rhodobacterales; Paracoccaceae. The record is from RNAcentral.
GGGGGGUGGGCCUUUUUAAGAAUUUAUGGGCAUAAAGCGCGCACACCCGAAUAGAGGGUUGGGGGUGAAUUACCUGCCUCUACUUACCGGAACUGCCUUUAAUACUGCUAGUCUUGAGUUCGAGAGAGGUGAGUGGAAUUCCGAGUGUAGAGGUGAAAUUCGUAUAUCUUUAGAGGAACACCAGUGGCAAAGCGACUCACUGACUCGAUACUGACGCUGAGGUGCGAAAGUGUGGAGAGCACACAGGAUUAGAUACCGUGGUAGUCCACACCAUACACUAAGAGUGCCACUCGUCAGACAGUAUACUAUACGGUGACACAUCUCACGGAAUACACAUUCCCCCCUGGAGUAGUACUGUCGCAAUAUUAAAACUCAGCAGAUAUGACGGGGCCCACACAAGCUGGUAGAAUCAUGUAGUUUUAAUUCAACACACGCGCAAAGCUGUAACGACCCUUGACAUCGCUG